Molecule: ribosomal RNA, 253 nt
Filed under: uncultured Eubacteriales bacterium
Lineage: Bacteria; Bacillati; Bacillota; Clostridia; Eubacteriales
Description: uncultured Clostridiales bacterium partial 16S ribosomal RNA
Rfam family: Bacterial small subunit ribosomal RNA
Source: RNAcentral
UACGUAGGGGGCAAGCGUUAUCCGGAUUUACUGGGUGUAAAGGGAGCGUAGACGGCGCGGCAAGUCUGAAGUGAAAGGCAGGGGCUUAACCCCUGAACUGCUUUGGAAACUGCCAUGCUAGAGUGCUGGAGAGGUAAGUGGAAUUCCUAGUGUAGCGGUGAAAUGCGUAGAUAUCAGGAGGAAUACCGUUAGCGAAGGCGGCAAUCUGGCUGGAAACUGACGCUGAGGUGCGAAAGCGUGGGUAGCAAACAGG